CGGACCGGCGGACGGGUGCGUAACGCGUAUGCAACCUGCCUGACACAGGGGGAUAAUCCGAAGAAAUUUGGUCUAAUACCCCAUAAUACCGAUAUAGGCAUCUAUGUUGGUUGAAAGCUUUGGUGGUGACAGAUGGGCAUGCGUUGUAUUAGCUAGUUGGUGAGGUAACGGCUCACCAAGGCGACGAUACAUAGGGGGACUGAGAGGUUAACCCCCCACACUGGUACUGAGACACGGACCAGACUCCUACGGGAGGCAGCAUG
This 263-nucleotide ribosomal RNA is filed under the name uncultured bacterium. RNAcentral's name for it is "partial 16S ribosomal RNA". It matches the Rfam family "Bacterial small subunit ribosomal RNA", at positions 91 to 353 of the family's 1533-position model. The record is from RNAcentral.